Molecule: ribosomal RNA, 421 nt
Filed under: uncultured bacterium
Lineage: Bacteria
Description: partial 16S ribosomal RNA
Rfam family: Bacterial small subunit ribosomal RNA
Source: RNAcentral
AAUAUUGGACAAUGGGCGAAAGCCUGAUCCAGCCAUGCUGCGUGUGUGAAGGAGGUCUACGGACUGUAACGCACUCUAAGAUGGGAGGAAGGGCAGUAAGUUAAUACCUUGCUGUUUUGACGUUACCGACAGAAUAAGUUCCGGCUAACUUCGUGCAUGUAGUCGCGGUAAUACGAAGGGUGCUAGCGUUAAUCGGAAUUACUGGGCGUAAAGCGCGCGUAGGUGGAGUGUAAAGUUGGAAGAUAAAGCCCCGGGCUCAACCUGGAAACUGCGAUAACAACUGGCAAGCUAGAGUAUGGCAGAGGGUGGUGGAAUUUCCUGUGUAGAGGUGAAAUGCGUAGAUAUAGGAAGGAGCACCAGUGGCAAAGGCGACCACCUGGGCUAAUACUGACACUGAGGUGCGAAAGCGUGGGGAGCAAAC